Molecule: small nuclear RNA, 108 nt
Organism: Cebus imitator (Panamanian white-faced capuchin)
Lineage: Eukaryota; Metazoa; Chordata; Mammalia; Primates; Cebidae
Source: Ensembl
AUGCUCACUUGGGCAGCACAUCUACUAAAACUGGAAGGAUACAGAGAAGAUUAGCAUGGCCCCUGCACAAAGAUGACAACGCAAAUUCAUGAAGCAUUCUAUAUUUAA